CCUACGGGUGGCAGCAGUGAGGAAUAUUGGUCAAUGGGCGCGAGCCUGAACCAGCCAAGUAGCGUGAAGGAUGACUGCCCUACGGGUUGUAAACUUCUUUUAUAAAGGAAUAAAGUGAGGCACGUGUGCCUUUUUGUAUGUACUUUAUGAAUAAGGAUCGGCUAACUCCGUGCCAGCAGCCGCGGUAAUACGGAGGAUCCGAGCGUUAUCCGGAUUGAUUGUGUUGAAAGGGAGCGUAGAUGGGUUGUUAAGUCAGUUGUGAAUGUUUUCGGCUCAACCGUAAAAUUGCAAUUGUUACUGGCAGUUGUUAGUAAUGUGUGGGUAGCCGAAAUUCGGUUGGUAGCGGUGAAGUGCUAAGAU
Molecule: ribosomal RNA, 360 nt
Filed under: uncultured bacterium
Lineage: Bacteria
Description: partial 16S ribosomal RNA
Rfam family: Bacterial small subunit ribosomal RNA
Source: RNAcentral